AAUUUCUGGCCCUGUGCACCUGGUCCACACUCUAGUAGUGUGCGUGCUAGUGUGCACGGGUCAUUCUUCUGGAAAGCAUCUCUGCCCUUUACUGGGUUGGUUAUGUGAUUCAGAUCAUUUACUGUGAGUAAAUCAGAGUGUUCAAAGCAGGCAGCAAUGCUUGUAUGGUUCAGCAUGGAAUAAUAAGAUAAGACUUUGGUUUUAUUUUGUUGGCUAUAGGACCAAAGUAAUGAUUGAAAGGGACAGUUGGGGGUGCUAGUAUUCAGUGGUCAGCGGUGAAAUGCGAGGACCCAUUGAAGACUAACUUAUGCGAAAGCAUU
RNAcentral lists this ribosomal RNA (320 nucleotides) under uncultured Thalassomyxa. RNAcentral describes it as "SSU rRNA". The stretch from base 101 to 320 matches the Rfam family "Eukaryotic small subunit ribosomal RNA", at positions 734 to 955 of the family's 1831-position model. Lineage: Eukaryota; Endomyxa; Vampyrellida. The record is from RNAcentral.